CGGCAACGGAUAUCUCGGCUCUCGCAUCGAUGAAGAACGUAGCGAAAUGCGAUACUUGGUGUGAAUUGCAGAAUCCCGUGAACCAUCGAGUCUUUGAACGCAAGUUGCGCCCGAAGCCACUAGGCCGAGGGCACGCCUGCCUGGGCGUCACACGUCGUUGCCCC
This 164-nucleotide ribosomal RNA is filed under the name Physocarpus malvaceus. RNAcentral describes it as "5.8S ribosomal RNA". It matches the Rfam family "5.8S ribosomal RNA". Rfam says of the family: 5.8S ribosomal RNA (5.8S rRNA) is a component of the large subunit of the eukaryotic ribosome. It is transcribed by RNA polymerase I as part of the 45S precursor that also contains 18S and 28S rRNA. RNAcentral also lists the same sequence under 5 other names. Lineage: Eukaryota; Viridiplantae; Streptophyta; Magnoliopsida; Rosales; Rosaceae. The record is from RNAcentral.